Molecule: ribosomal RNA, 5516 nt
Filed under: Triticum aestivum (bread wheat)
Lineage: Eukaryota; Viridiplantae; Streptophyta; Magnoliopsida; Poales; Poaceae
Description: partial small subunit ribosomal RNA
Source: RNAcentral
GCGCACGCUUAUAUGCACUUGCGUGUGCGACGACGUGAGGCGAUCACGACGAUAUUAUAUUUGUUCACCGAAGGAAGGGAGGAGGAGCAGAGGACGGGUCCUUAUCCGCUGCGCAGCCGGCGACGACGUACGCUCCGCGUCCCUGCCGGCUAUUCGACCCGCUAGGCCGGUACCGGAGAGAGCCAACCAGCGGGAGCACCUGGACGCCCGCCCUCCUGCCGCCGCCCGAGUGGGAGCGCAGCGGCACGCACGUCUCCCCAGACCAGCUGACGCAGUUAUAGCACGAGGAGCGGCGGAUGCGGAGGCGCGACGAGCGCCGGACGCAGUCGCCCGCCACCCUACCCGCCCGUUCUUCGCCGCCGCGUUCCGCCGCCACCCCCCACCGGCGCCAGAGGCGCACGACGCACCGCCAGCGCCGCCGCAUGCGGCAGCGGCGCAAGUCCCCGAGGCGCCUACGCCGCCGGUGGUGCCGGAGGCAGCAGUCCCCCGACCACACCCACCGGCACCGCCGGAGCAACGUGCAGGUCGGCUGCUCCGGCCGGUCCCGGCACCGGCAAGAGACCACCUGCGAGAAGAGCGACGAGUAGUGGCGCAUGUUACGCCUCCAGGAACGGUACCCGAUACCCGAGCUGCAGCGCCUCCCACAGCGCACCCGCCAGUUGAAGGAGGAGGACGAGACGCGGGAGCCGAGCGACGAGGCCGCCUCGGCACCGACGGUCCUGCUGCUGCCGGACAGCCUCGGGAACUAACUGUUCCGUCAAGUGCUGAGCCUUGAGAUGGCCCGGCCGGACAAGUCGGUCGAGCGGAAGAGCACCGACUUGGGUGACGAGGCGGAGCCGGCGAGUUUUCGUGACCUGGAGCGGCUGUAGGGCGAGUAGCGGCCGCUCCUGACGCGUGUCGUUCGGAGUGUAUCCAAGAGACUCCGUACCUCGGCGGUGGCCGUCCUGUUCCGCGUCUCGCCCUCUAGGUUGUCCGAGCGGGAGCAGGACACGUUCACGAAGGAGUCCCUCUAGUACUAGCGGCCGAAGAUGCGGAAGUACUCUUGCGACCGGUAUCGGCAGCGGGGAUAUAACGAGAAACGCAAGCAUGCCAUGUCGAUGGUUCUUCUCUCCCUAGUGGCGCAACCAGACAGCGAGCAGCCGACGGACGAGCAGUAGUUCGAGCAGCUCAGCGACAGGGUCGCGGUAACCAAGAAGCUGAGGUCCUCCUGGCCCUACGCGUAGGCCAGGCGCGAUUACCGCCGGUAGAAAGUCUUCGUCGAGUUCGACAGGUCGGUCCCCUCCUUCUCGGUAAGUUGGCCCCUCUAUCAGUUGAUGUAACGGCAGCUGCGAAUGGCCGAGCCGCUACGAGAGUCGACCAAAGUGUACCGCACCUCGAGCGGCGAGGUCGAGCGGAAACGUCAUCCGUGCGAGAAAACCCGCGAGUCCGAGCCCCGCCAGGGCCCAGAUCAGGGGGACUAGUAGAAGCCGAAGGAGUUGUACGGCAAGCGUUUCGAAGACGUUCCCAUGGUCCGGUUCAAGUACCAACGUGUCCUACUAUCCGAGGCCAGGUGCAGGCUCCACGAGUUGUCGUACUUCUAGUAGUUCGACGUCAGUACCCUCCUCUUCAAGGCCCGGUACCAGCUCAGGGAGUCUUUGCGGCUCAAGUAUACCAACUCCCUCUGGGUCUACUUCUUCCGGAUGCCGCGGCAGUACAUGACCUACAGGGGCUGCCAGCAGAGACGCCACUACAUGUGGCGUUGCCGCUAGGACCCCUCACGGGGGGACUUACGGUCAUGGGAGAAGUGCCAGAACCGGUGGGACUCCCAGUACCGACUCGGCCACUCCAAGGAAGGACUCUAGGACUGUUACUACUAGGUCAUGUUCCACAGCGACCUGGCAUAGCUCUUUAAAGAGUAUCUUCUUCUCUAGUUUCUCCCACGGCUCUCCCGCGGAGGUGUAUUAAGACUAUAGUCCCAAGUACAGGUUCUACGUUUAAAGUCGACCUUACGCUCACGCCGGUUAAACUGCGAUUCCUUACAGUUGGAAUCGUAUUUGUUUCCUCUCUUCCACCGGCAGACACCGCGCCAACCGAGUCCUUUUAGAAGCGAGGAAAUACGUAAUGAAUCCCUCUAUGGAUCUUGUAGUCCUAGUCAACUGCAUAAACCUAGUGACCGUAUACAAAGUGUUUUAAGUACCUAUGUCUCACCGUGACAGGCGCUGUUAUAUGAGAAGCCUUUCGGGAAGCUGUUCCUUGACAUACUCUUCCGUUAGUUUAGAACACGAAACCUGUUCCUAUAUCUUUUAAAGUUAGUACCUCUGGAAUGCCUCUAGCCGGUCUCUCCCGAGUUGUACUCACCUCCGGUCUUCGUUUCCUAAGUUGAACGAUCUCGACAGAUAUCACUACGUCUAUAGAUGGAGGAUCUGCUGGGAAAGUCGCGCCAGCUACGCGUGUGACGACGUCAAGAAAAGAUACUAACACACUACUGGCGUGAAAGUCUCUUCUGGCAACAAGAACACUGCGUGGUUCAACUUAAAGACUGACUUUGGUUGUCCUAAGACCAUUACCUUCCGCCAGUCCAAUUUGUCGUUCCCUUUAUGCGUCUGGAUGACCUUAGGCCCUGGCGUAAGCUCUUCGAUCAAAGCCGUGUAGUCAGGAGUUAGUGUCGUGACCUAUGGUGGUCGGUUCUCUUGCUUCAGGUUCCCGUUGUCCACGAGCUACCGCCAUAUUACGGCUCGCGUAACGACCGCUGCGCCGUCCGGUCGCUCUAGCUUCAGAGCUGCUCCCCAGGAAGCCACCGGGUCGAGUGUCUUCUCCUCCUCUUCCCCUAGCCGUUGGAGCCUACCUUCGGUAUGUUUCUGAUGCAUCUUCAGAGGUUCCCGCAAAAUGGGGAGACACCCUACCAAUGUCGAGUUCACGAAAAGUGUCAGAAAGUUUAGUACAGGUGUAUGACCGACCGGCACCGAUAAGUCUAGUUACAGUCAUUACGAGAAGACCAACCCCGUAUGAGCCCCUAGAGGUAGAAGUCGACGACGAAGCGGAUGGAGUCUUCGAAGAAACGACGAUUAGACCCUGAGUUCCGGAGGUUUCGUAAGAAAUGCCCAGAUUACCUGAGACAUAAGUUCCGGGGGUACAGUAAGAAACUAAGCUGCGGGUAACCUUCUUAUAACUGUUCCCGAAGUAGUCUAAAUUCGUAAGACCUGAAACUGUAUGGAAUGAGGUACCGAAAACACCACUGACCGCCGUAGCUCCACCAGUGCUGUCAGGACCAGUACCCAUGACAUUGAACCGUCCAGAAUCAACAUCGUUAGGGUCAGCGUUAUAGGUACCAUAUACAAGUCUCCAUGAUGCACCUGAGCCGGUCUCUCGAUCAGUCUUAAUUACCUUGUUGCUUCCGUGGACAGUACUUGAUACGUAGUCUUAGCUAAGAACCACACCACUGUUAGUCCCGGAAGCGCCGUUGUCUGUCCAAGUAGGUGUUGUUGGACGUCGAAUAUCUGUUGCUACGCUGUUACAAGAAGGUGUGCCAACGACGCGUCCUCACCCAAGAAUAUUCUCACCUUCGUGAGGUUUCGAACUGGUAUAAGUGUAGAAGUAACAAGGAAUAAAACCAAGGAGGUCCUCAUUAAAGUGGUCCGAAACGCCCAGAAACGGAGAGGAUACGAAAUUCGGACUGGCGCCGUGUUCAAAAGGACUGUGCUAUGAUAAGGAUGGAUCUUUUGAUAUAGUAAAGUCAGCUCUCUUAGUUCGUCAUAUACGUGGAAGGUAGUCUCGGAGGGUGGUAUUAUGGUCUAUUGUCCGGAGGUUAAAGUACCGGUGUCCUCCCUUCUUAUCUGGACGUUCUAAACUUCUAAUUUAUGGCGGGUUUGUGCGGUGAACAAGAGUUUCCUUAGUGAACGUGGAAGGGACGACCUUUGUCUUAACCCCAACAGCCCUCCUGUCCUUCACCCUUUAGUUGUGAGUAGUCGAGUGACAAGGCAGAGCACCUAGGACACCCACCCUCCUAUGAAUAACUGUUGAACCUAUAAACGAGAUAACCAGAGUUCCUAGAUUCUUGAUUUGACUCAUAAUAGGGGGUUCUUGGAUGUGAAAAGUCUCCUUGCCACGCGUUAUUAAACCUGGGGGAACCAGACGUAAGGCUACUACUCUAUACCCUCCGGAACCUUUUCACAGUCGACUUCUCUAGUUAAUCGUCGUGACGACGAGAAGAGCUAUGUCAACACUCACUACUACCGCUAUUGACCUCACAACCUGUCGCGGUCGAGAAGACAGAGCCGUCUCAAGAGGAGGCAUCCUUGUUUUAAGAUCACGAUCUACUUCGUUGCCGCAGGUAGCUGAGGCGCUGACUACGUUAUGAUGUCCCACAGUAGUCCGUCGUCAAGUGAUCAACGUGUCACUAUUGAUAACGAGUGUCCCAGGGUUGACACUGUCUGUCACUGUCCCAGUACCAUGAAAGGAUGCCAUUCGAAGAUCUUAUACUGUGUGGGCGCUUCGACAACCUUCUGUUUGUUAGUCGGAAACGCUUCGAACACCGCCUCAUAACCCGAUUAACGUUCGCCUUGAGGUGUACUAAGAUAGUAAGACACAGCCCCGUACUAUCUGUUCUACUCGUUAAGUUAGUUCUAAAACUCCAUGACUUUCUAACAAUAGGGUCGAAGAACUUGAGGUAGACAUUGUUCUGACUGGAACAGGAGGAGGGAACGACCAACCAAGUUAAUGACCUUUAUUUCUUCCGUACUUGUUGUAACAUUUCAACCAGUCACUAGCGUUUAAAAACCACUAUUCCAACUACCUCUCUUGAUCGAGUUUUACGUAACUGAGCUCAGGAGGUUCUAGUCGUACAGGUGUUCCUAUGACUCUAAGUAACGCAUUCCCUUAUUUCCUAGGUGGAAAUCACACUGUAUACCAUGUGAAGUAUACAUUCAAGAUGACAACUUAUUGUUCGUUUUUUCCUUCACAGUUCUACGGUCAUCUAACGGGUUCCGUAUACUGUUUUUUAAUAACAUGGAACAGGAUUUAUUCCAACCAACAUGGCACACCUUCACGUACACCAGGUCUUACUUCUAUCACGGUUCUUGGAAAAUCCUAAAAUACGUCACUUCAAUACGAAAGAGCACACAAGUAUUCAUUGAGCUUUAAUAACUCUUAGUAACCCAGUGUGUUUUGUAAUGAUAGUAGGUAUACAAGGAUUAUCAAAAAGUAUACAAGGAUUAUCGAGAGGUGUCGUUCUUGAUAAUGACGACUAUGACGCGUCACCCGGCUAGAGUAACCCAGUGUGUUUUGUAUUAGUGAUAGUAGUUACCGACGGAGACGUGACUAAUUAGAAAGGUAUGGAGUUUACCAACGCUCCAACACGUCACAAAAAAGAAUUUUAGGGAAAGUCAUGGAAUCUCGUAUCGUCGUAGUACUGAUCUGUACACGGGUCUAAUUUUAUGGUUCUGUGGUUUGGUCAAAUAAUACCCGUAUGAAUGUCUAAAGAGGUUAAUCAGAAUCACCAAACCCGUGGAUUUGAGUUGUCCUUGUUCACUGUUUAUCAU